Molecule: long non-coding RNA, 773 nt
Filed under: Podarcis lilfordi (Lilford's wall lizard)
Lineage: Eukaryota; Metazoa; Chordata; Lepidosauria; Squamata; Lacertidae
Source: RNAcentral
AAAGUCUUGUUUUAAUUGAUUUUAUGUAAGAUGCUCUGAGAAUUUUUAUGCUCAAGUGUGAGUGCAAAUCCUCUAAAUAAAUGAAUAAUAAGAUGAAAGCUAAUGAGAUGAUACCUUUACCUGUACACUAACUUUUAAAAUGCUGGAAGUAUGAUAUUUCCGCUCAGAUAUUGUCAGUUCAGGUUUAGAUCAAAUUUUUCAAAGCAAAAUUUUAAUAUAGACUAUAUACAUGUUCAGUUUGAUGUUAACGCUUCUGAGUUUAAUGAGAAAGGGUUGAUCAGGGAAGGAACUAUGCUGCUUGUAUUACAAAUAUAGACUGGCUUUGUUUACAGGAAUCAAUCCACAACCUUCCAGAGGGAUGGCGCUGGGAAACAAUGAAAAACGAUAAGAUGUUUUAAAAGCCCUUCUUACUGGAAACAGUUCAGUUUUCCUUAGCCUCCCAGCUCUAACUUUUCCCUAUAUAUGGUACUCCAUUUUAAUGUCCUGAUUGUCUUGUCCACCUCUGAGUUUCAGUUUCUUUUGCAUGUUAACAAGUACAACCUGUUUAAUGUCAUCAUCUUUCUUGUGUUUUAGGAAUUUUUUCUGGGUGACUGCCUACAGUGGGCUGCCAGAGUUAGUCCUUGAUCAAUGAAGUGUCCUCAACUCAAGCCUUCAUUCCUCUAUUACAUUGUGUCAGCCAGAGGCUUAAACACAUUGAAGCUUCUGCUGUGUUAUUUUUCUUCAUUCAGUGUAUCAUCCCCAGAGAGCACCAGGGAAUAAAUAGAUUUUGUGCC